Micropterus dolomieu (smallmouth bass) is the source of this 1263-nucleotide long non-coding RNA. RefSeq lists it as uncharacterized. The transcript has 9 exons. The record is from RefSeq and is a predicted model, not a curated record. NCBI's taxonomy places the organism in Eukaryota, Metazoa, Chordata, Actinopteri, Centrarchiformes, Centrarchidae.
UUGUCUAUUUAAGGAGUAAAGUCCUUUUUUCUGAUCUUUUUUUCUUGUUUUCAACAGAUCAGGUCAUUAAGGAAACAAAUUUGAAUGAAACUGGAUGGAGUCACAGGUUUUAAUGUACCAUCAAACGUUCCUAAGAUAAUCUGAUGAUUUUUUUUUAUUAUUUAUUGGACUUAUAUGUUUUUUCAGCAGACACCUCAUGCGUACUGCUACAUUUCACUCACACUUGAUAAUUGUUAUUGAUUGAUGCAUGUUCUCACCAUACCCCAUGUAAAAAAUUGUCUAUUUAAGGAGUAAAGUCCUUUUUUCUGAUCUUUUUUUCUUGUUUUCAACAGAUCAGGUCAUUAACAAAACAAAUUUGAAUGAAAGUGGAUGGAAUCACAGGUUUUAAACUACCAUCAAAUGUUCUUAAGGUCAUUAAGGAAACAGAUUUGAAUGAAACUGGAUGGAGUCACAGGUUUUAAUCUACCAUCAAACGUUCCUAAGAUAAUCUGAUGAUUUUUAAUAUGGAUCAAGGCCUAGAAGUUUGGUAGACAUCUCAAAUCAGGUCAUUAAGGAAACAGAUUUGAAUGAAACUGGAUGGAGUCACAGGUUUUAAACUACCAUCAAACGUUCCUAAGAUAAUCUGAUGAUUUCUUUAUUAAUUAUUGGACUUAUAUGUUUUUUCAGCAGAAACUUCAUGCGUACUGCUACAUUUUACUCACACUUGAUAAUUGUUAUUGAUUGAUGCAUGUUCUCACCAUACCCCAUGUAAAAAGUUGUCUAUUUUAGGAUGACGUUUGAUUUUUUCCCUGUAUUUCUCUUGUUGUCAUCUCAUCAGGUCAUUAAGGAAACAGAUUUGAAUGAAACUGGAUGGAGUCACAGGUUUUAAUCUACCAUCAAACGUUCCUAAGAUCAGGUCAUUAAGGAAACAGAUUUGAAUGAAACUGGAUGGAGUCACAGAUCAGGUCAUUAAGGAAACAGAUUUGAAUGAAACUGGAUGGAGUCACAGGUUUUAAUCUACCAUCAAACGUUCCUAAGAUAAUCUGAUGAUUUUUAAUAUGGAUCAAGGCCUAGAAGUUUGGUAGACAUCUCAAAUCAGGUCAUUAAGGAAACAGAUUUGAAUGAAACUGGAUGGAGUCACAGAUCAGGUCAUUAAGAAAACAGAUUUGAAUGAAACUGGAUGGAGUCACAGGUUUUAAACUACCAUCAAACGUUCCUAAGAUAAUCUGAUGAUUUCUUUAUGAUUUCUUGGAUUUAUAUGUUUUUUCAGCAGACACCUCAUGU